Molecule: RNA transcript, 3062 nt
Organism: Tyto alba (common barn owl)
Lineage: Eukaryota; Metazoa; Chordata; Aves; Strigiformes; Tytonidae
Gene: HUS1
Gene name: HUS1 checkpoint clamp component
Exons: 10
Source: RefSeq, a predicted model, not a curated record
GCGGAGGCCGCCCUUUCCCCUCACGGGCGGUGCUGCCGCGGCGGGCGGGCGGGGCCGGGCCGGGCGCCGCCAUGCGAUUUCGGGCUAAGAUCGUGGAUGUUGCCUGCCUUAACCACUUCAGCCGUGUAGUUAACACCAUUGCCAAGUUAGCCAAGACCUGCACGCUGCGCCUGACUGUCAGCAAGGUGUAUUUCAUCCUCGCUGAUAAAGUCGGGAAUGGAGGCGUCAGUAUGUGGUGUGAGCUGUGCCAGGGGAAUUUCUUCGAUGAAUUUCAGAUGGAAGGAGUAGCUGCAGAGCACAAUGAAAUCUAUUUAGAGUUGGUGCCUGAGAACCUAUCAAGAGCAUUAAAAACCGCCCAGAGUGCUAAGGCAGUGAAGAUGAAGUUGACUAACAAACAUUGUCCCUGUCUCAGAGUUGCUGUGGAGCUACCAUCCUUAUCAAGCAGCAGUAGGAUUGUGACACAUGACAUUCCUGUGGGGGUUAUUCCUAGAAGACUGUGGAAUGACUUCAGAGAGCCCAGUGUGCCAGACUUUGAUGUCAGUAUUUACCUUCCAGUGCUGAAAACAAUGAAGAGUGUUGUGGAGAGAAUGAAGAAUCUCAACAAUUCCAUUGUGAUUGAAGCAAACUUAAGUGGAGAAAUGAACUUGAAAAUAGAAACUGACUUAGUGUCUGUAACAACACAUUUUAAAGACUUGGGAAAUCCUCCCUGGCCAUCAGAGGAUGGAUAUCAAAGUUCUCAAGACAGAGAUCUGGAAAGCAUGGCUGAGGCACGCAUAGACAUUAAGAAGCUGCAGCAGCUGCUUGCUGGGCAGCAGGUCAAUCCCACAAAAGCAUUGUGCAAUAUUGUAAGUAAAAGAAUUGUCCACUUCAUCUUGCUCCAUGAGGAUGUUUCUCUUCAGUAUUUUAUCCCAGCACUUGCCUAAAUGUUUUGGAAUCUCAAUCAUUUUCCAACCUGGGGCCUUUUCCGUGACGUCCAAAAACCUUCAUAAGUUGCUCGAGUGCUUUUGUGUGAUACGCUGUUAGGUGCAGCCAUCGGAUGGACAUUAUUUCCGUAUUUAUGAAAUUACUCAAAAUGCCUCCUCAUCUAGAAGGCCAUUUUUUUGAAGAGUUAUGUACUAUGAAAGACACAACUCUGGGGAGCUGGCAUAUUUGAGCAUUACAGGGAGCAAAACUGAAAUGUGUAUGCACUUUUGGGAUGCUUUGAGCUGUGGGGAAGGCAACGUAGCAUUUUUUUUCUCAUUGACAAACUUCGAGGUAGAACUGACCUUUGUAGCUGCUGCUGGAUAUUCAGUAUUGGACAAUGCAGCUCCAAGUUAAGGGAUCUCCGAGCAAACUGUUGUACCUCCAUGGAGCAGAAGAGCCGCCUGGAGGGUAGACAGAUUGGUAUUUGCCUGGGCAGUGAGAAAAGUCCUCCUCUACACCACAAGAUGUCUAUUGAGGCCACUUGUAUGCCUACGCUACCUUAAUUUUGCUAAGCAAGAUAUGAUAGAAGAUUUUUUUACUGUGUUGCUGAACUCUCCCUGUGCUGGUGAAGACUACGAAGCCUGCCUGGAAGAACAUAUGGAACUGUUGACUGUAUAGUUUUGAUGGUAAUUGCUUUGUUAAUAUUUACAGGAUGUGUAAUAUACCACCAUAGGUGAUGUUUUGGCUGACCAUCAUCGCUGCCUUUAAUAUCUGGUCAAGCUUCUGCGCUCCCCCUCUCAACUUGUGAUGGCAAAAUGAAUUUGUUGUUUUAGGCCAACAAGUAGCCAAUAAUUUUAAUCCGAUUAGUUGUUGGAUGUGCGGUGUGCCUUUUGGUUUGGCAUAUUGUUUGAACUGCACCCAGACUAAUGGAAUCCGUGUUGAAAUGAGUAAAUGCAAUUGGACAUUGUCCCCAGGAUUUGACUGCUGGGACCACUAUUGUAGUCCUUUUGAUUGUAGUAGUAGCCACCUUAAAUGGAAUUCAACCCAUAUUAAGCUUUCCAGUGGCAGCUGGGUAAGAUGUCCUCUUACAAGACCUAGUGGAGAAGGUUGUGAAGCAGCCAUGAGGGAUAAAACAUUUGAUCCUUGACUCCCUUUUUGCAUGUGAGACAACACCACUAGCAAAAAAUCACAUUAUUCGAGUAUACCAGUGGGCAUGGCAACACCAAAAUGGAACCCGCACACUGUUCAAAGAAUUUUGGUCUAGUAACAAUCAAAGUAGAUGGAGAUGUAAUUGUGUGUGGAAAGGUGAAAUGGGGGCUUGGAUGUGUGAAUAUUGUGACCAGUAUGGAGACAGAACAAUUGUAGGAGGACUAUUUGAACCAGGAACCACAUUAUAUUAUGAUCCACCAAUAGACUCAGAGGACUGGAAUGGUCUCUUUGAAAACGGCUACCCGAGCGUGAAAAGGGCCACUGUUUGGCGUGUGGCCAGUAUGCCUCCAAACAGCUACCCACAAAUUCAACUGGAGUGUGUUAUGUGGGGGUAAUCCAUCCCUUGUUUUUCCUACUCCUGGAGGACGGAGGUGAUGGAUUGGGUAUUAAGGUAUAUGAUGAUCUUAACCAAUUUUGGUGAUCCAUUGGUACCUCUAUAGCAGGUCGAAGUGGCCAAAUCUGAGGCAAAGAUGAGUGGACCCCUCAAUGUAUUAUACAACAUUAUGUGCCUGCCACCUGGAACUCUGAUGAGUGGAUUAACAGUGCUCAAGGACCUAUUUAUAAUCUAAAUCACAUUAUCUGAUUAAAAGCUGUCCUAGAGAUCAUUACUAAUGAGAUGGCCUGUGCCCUUGGUCUAUUGGCAGAUCAAGCCACACAAAUGCGAACUGCAAUAUUCCAACAUUGUAUGGUUCUUGACUAUUUGCUGGCCAAAGAGGGGAGUGUUUGUGGUAAAAUGAAUGAUUCUAACUGUUGUUUAAAAAUUGAUGACAACAUUAAAAUUGUUAAACAAAUUAACACAGGAAUACGGAAGCUGGCCCAAGUUCCUGUCUAGACAUGGAAAGGCUGGGACAUUGAUAUGUUUUCCUGGCUCCCUGGAGGUCCAUGGAUUAAGCGAGUUCUAUUCUAUUUGCUAUGUAGUUUUCAGUAAAUCUUUACAUGUAAAUGUUAAA